CAGUGAAUCCCAGCCCCACGGCUGGACUCACCACCCUUGUGUAUUAUUAUUUGUUGCUUUGGCAGGCCGCGAGAUUGCCUAGCGAUCGAGCACCGGCUUUGGCUGGAGAGUGCCUGCCAGAGGACCCCAACUCUGUUAUUAGUGAUGUCUGAGUACUAUAUUAAUAGUUA
Molecule: unclassified non-coding RNA, 170 nt
Filed under: uncultured Meliniomyces
Lineage: Eukaryota; Fungi; Ascomycota; Leotiomycetes; Helotiales; Helotiaceae
Description: sequence contains ITS1
Source: RNAcentral